This 1509-nucleotide ribosomal RNA is filed under the name Triticum aestivum (bread wheat). RNAcentral's name for it is "partial small subunit ribosomal RNA". Lineage: Eukaryota; Viridiplantae; Streptophyta; Magnoliopsida; Poales; Poaceae. The record is from RNAcentral.
AUGGAGCGGGCGGAGGCGGAGGUGGGGAUGGCCGGCAACGGCGACGCCGUCCACACGCCCCACUCGGCGCCGCCGACGGCGCCGUCGGCGCGGGUGUCGAUUUGGGAGUCGGUGCGCGCGUGCGGGGUGUGGGGCCGGGACGUCGACAAGGCCGAGCUGCGGCGCCGCGUCGUCAUGCCGCUCUACGCGCGCCGCGCCGUGGCCGCCGCCGUCGCCGAGAAGGACGAGGCCGCCGGCGUGGCGGCCGCCGCGGCGGCGAGGGACGAGGGAGGGGAAGACGGGGAGGAAGGAUUGGAGGUGGUGACGCCGAUGGUCGUGUUCGUCAACUCCAAGAGCGGCGGGCGCCACGGGCCCGAGCUCAAGGUGCGCCUGCACGAGCUCAUCAGCAAGGAGCAGGUCUUCGAUCUUUCUUCUGUGAAGCCUUCUGAUUUUGUUCGCUAUGGUUUGGGUUGUUUGGAGAGGUUGGCUGAUCAAGGUGAUAACUGUGCAAAGGACAUCCGUGCAAAUUUGAGGAUUAUGGUUGCUGGAGGUGAUGGCACUGUUGGUUGGGUACUUGGAUGUCUCCAAGAACUUAAUAAGUUGAAAAGGGAACCAGUUCCCCCCACAGGAAUCAUUCCACUUGGGACAGGAAACGACCUUGCUAGAUCAUUUGGAUGGGGUGGCUCUUUUCCCUUUGGCUGGCGUUCAGCUGUAAAGCGAUAUCUCAACAAGGCAGUGUCUGCUUCGGUCGUCCAUCUUGACAGUUGGCAGGCUGUGAUUAGGAUGCCAGAGGGAGAAAUAACAGAGUUGCCACAUGCACUUAAGAAAGCGGAACCUGCCGAUCAGCUGGAGUUCAGCAAGGCAAGUGGCAGUGAGUUAACAGAAAAAGCUUCUUGCUAUAAAGGAGUAUUCUACAACUACCUUAGCAUUGGGAUGGAUGCCCAAGUUGCAUAUGGCUUCCACCAUCUACGAGAUGAAAAGCCAUAUCUUGCUCAAGGACCAGUUGCAAAUAAGUUGAUUUAUGCUGGAUAUAGCUGCACGCAGGGAUGGUUCUGUACUCCUUGUACAGCAAGUCCUCAGCUAAGGGGACUUCGGAACAUUUUGCGGCUUUACAUUAAAAGGGCAAAUUGUUCUGAAUGGGAGCAAAUUCAAAUGCCUUCAAGUGUUAGAUCACUAGUGGUCUUAAAUCUGUACAACUACGGCAGUGGAAGGCAUCCAUGGGGUGAUCUUAAACCAGAUUAUCUUGAAAAGAAAGGUUUUGUUGAAGCUCAUUCAGAUGACGGUUUGAUUGAAAUAUUUGGUCUGAAAGAAGGUUGGCAUGCUUCAUUCGUUAUGGCUGAGCUUAUCAAAGCAAAGCACAUUGCUCAGGCUGCAGCUAUCAAGUUUGAAAUGAGGGGAGGCGAGUGGGAUCGAGCAUAUGUUCAAAUGGAUGGCGAGCCAUGGAAACAACCACUCAUCCAGGACCAGUCGACAAUUCUGGAAAUAAACAAGGUUCCCUAUCACUCCCGGAUGAUAAACGGGGAUUCAUGA